This is a long non-coding RNA of Pecten maximus, 1856 nucleotides long. RefSeq lists it as uncharacterized. The transcript has 2 exons. The record is from RefSeq and is a predicted model, not a curated record. Lineage: Eukaryota; Metazoa; Mollusca; Bivalvia; Pectinida; Pectinidae.
AAUAAAUAAUAUAUAUAAAUAAAUUUGUAUCAAUACCUCCUGCUAAUACCUACAUGGACAUUUUCAGAAAUACAUAUGAAGAUAUUAUGGUACAGUAUAGCCAUAUUCUCACAUAUAUAAAAGGUAAAGACAACAUGUUUUAUGAGCGAUGUGUGUCAGAACAUGUUUAAAUCAGAAUCCUGUAUACCUUACUGUAAUAUAGCAUAUUUUUAAACAAAAACACUAAACUUUUUAACUUUAUAAUAAUCUUUAAUAAAAGCUUAAAGUUAUGUUCAAACAAAGUAAAAUAAUAGUUGGUUAGAAAAGUUAAUGUUUUUACUUUGUUAGGUAAAUAGACUGUUUGUUAGGUAAAUUAAUGGUCUGUUAGGUAAAUUGAUAGUUUGUAAACCAAGGUUAGCUAGAUAAAUGAAUGGUCUGUUAGGUAAAUUGAUAGUUUGUAAACCAAGGUUAUUUAUGGUUUGUUACGUUAAUCAAUGCAUGGUUAGUACUUAAGUCAGCAUAGUAUAGGGGCUAUACUGAUAUUGAGAUAUAAGGAGACCCAUCUUUAGAAGGACACAAGUUUUUCCAGAGUACAUUUAAUACUCUGUUUUCACAGAUAAUUCUUAUAAAACCUGGUACACACCUGUUAUUUAUUUUUCAUUUCAAUUGCAUAUUUCUCUUGGAGUCAUUACCUUUCUUAACUAGACGUUCAAGAUGAAUAACUUAACCACAGUAUAGAUGUAUCUAUUAUAUAUGUUUCAUUUUUCAUGAUUUUCUUAGGAGUAAUUACCUGUACUAUGGUAUUAAUAUAUGAUUAACAUUUUUUACAUCACUGUUUGGACCUCAAGAUAGAAAGCACAGGGAUCUGAGAAUUUGUUUUAGACUAAGUGACUGGGGCUAAUAUUAACACUCCAUUAAAAUGACACUGUUGACUGUAAAGACAAUUUUUACCGAAUGUUAGUUGAGCCCCUAUAAACAUUUAUGAAUGAUCAACACACACAAAGAUAGGUCCGUCACAUAUGCUAUAACCAAUUUUCAGGUCCCUGUGGUAUACCAUGUGGCUCACAUUUAUUGUCUCAGUAAUGAUCUAUGUCUAUGUUAUGGAUAAUCUCUCCGUCCAUUUACAUCCUACUUCUACUUUCUACUACUCCUUUUUUAGGUUCAGAAUUAAAUUUUCAGACUGAUUCAGUAUAACUGACAUGCCUUGUAUCCCUAUACUGUGUAGCUAUCAUUCUGAAGAAUCAAUAUUGAAUAAUCAGUUUUUCCAGUAUUAAAAAGAAUAAUCUUUUUUUUUUUUUUUUUUACUAUUUUAUCACUCAUUACUGGUAUGUAAAUUAUUAUCAUAAAUUCCGAGAUGAAAUGCCAGAGAGUGUCAUCAUGAAUUAGGUAAAAUUGAUAUGAGAGUGAAAAUCAAAUGUAUAUCCUUUUUUUAUUACAUUAAAAGUCCUAAAUUUAAUGCCUACAUUAAAUUGAUAAUUUGGUGUUAUUUCUGAACUGGUUAGUUUUUCAAAAGAAACACAUUGAUGGAGGAAAUAUUUUUCAAUACGCUUCUUCACAAUGAUCAAUACCAGUAGGGCAAAUCUAAUAACAAUUGUAUUCUUGUAGUAGUGUGUACCCUGUUGGCCUAAGUUUCCUAUUCCCAUUCCACAGUUAUUUAUAUAAUCUUUUAUUGCACUCUCUUUAAGCUAAAUAAUAUACUUACAACAACAAUUAUGAUACCAGCCUUUCUGUUAAGUGAGAAUCAGGAACUGCAGUAUACAGUAAGGAGAGUAUUUUUUUCUUUUCUUUUAAAAAAAAAAUAUAUUCAAAAGGGAAAAAGGAGAGAGAUUUAAAUUACUACAAAAAAACAUGAGUUCAAUAAAUUAUACAUAAAACAG